ACUGAGGAAGAAUAUAAGUUAGCCUCGUAGUGACCAUGUGGAAGUCCUGACCUCGCUUGCAGACUUGACCUCUGGAUGUGACAAGGUGAGGUUCUGUGUUCACUGAUACAUCCCCUUCCUUCACCGGGCUCAUGAAAAGAAAUGCUGAAUCAGCAAAUAGAGUGAACGAACAAUCAAGAUGAGAUGGCUGCUGUUGAUGUGAUUCUCUAGGUUACUACCUUUCUUCCUGCUGCAAAUGCUGCAUGACACUAAGCUUACAGGAUCUAGAAGCAGACUACAAAAAAAGAAGAAAUUCACUCUGAAGACUGAAGAAACACUAGGCUGAUCUUAAGUUUCCGAAAUACACUCUGUAACACUACACUGAUUCUUUGAAUCUCUUGCAAAAAGAAUCAAACCAGGACAAAGUUCAACAGAUAACUGGUCAAAUGCUUAGGAAUGUCUAUGUCCACCAAGAAUAUGGAACCAUUAAUGCCAUGCUUCAGGUAAACUUGUUACAAAAUUUAGUCUUCGAUAAAUUAGUCUCUGCAAAUGAUUUACCAUUGCUCUACAUUAGUAAGCUGAAUGUUUCACUAACAAAUAAGAAAAUAAAAUAUUUCAUGUUUUUACAGCUAACAACUUAGUAAUACCUACUCAGAGUACAUACUUCUUUAUGUACCCAUAUGAACAUACAAUGCUAUGGAAUGUAAAGAAGUAUGUAUUUUUGGUAGGCAAUAAACCACCAAGGGAGAAUUAAACUGAGCUAAAAGAAGCUCUUGCUUCUUUCUACGUGAAUGACCGUCAUAUGGUAAAUUAACCUAGUCAUGAACAGAUGACCUUUGGCAAUACUAACACCAAAAAAAAAAGGUUAUCUACUACUGAUAGAUAGAAACUAUCCCUAAGGUUUUUAUUUCAUGAAGGAAAAGAAGAUCCAGUGAAGUAGAUUUCAAUUAUCAUGAAACUCCUUUUAAAUCAUCUAAGUUUAAAACAGACAUCUUACAUUUUUAAAUUAGGCACUCUCAUUAUUAAAAUUUGACUGCAAAAGGGAAAAUAGUAUUACUAGCACAAAAGAAUGAGGAAUACACAUGACCUAUUUUCUGUCUCCACAAUUUAAUCUUAAGUAUAUCUCAUUAGUAGGGCUCACUGAUUUGUACAGAAAAAUAAGAUACUAAGAGCUGGCUUCAUUCACAUAAUAAGCUAUUUCUUCUCAUUUUGAUAAAUGUAUAAUUAAUAUUAGAGGAAUUUCUGACCAAAAGUUUUGUUGUUUUAAAAAGGCUUUCUUUUUUGACAGCUACAAACAUAGUGGCCCUUGUCCUUCCUUCUCAAGUUUAUCAGGGUCUUAACCCAAAUCUCUACUUUAAAUGUGAAGUUAAAACUUAAAAUUAAUUAAAAUGUAAGAUUUAAGCAUGAAAAAUGACAAAAUUCUGGUCCACAGCUGUAAGUCAGCAGGGUAUAUUGGUAACAGACUACCAAAUAUUUAAAAGAAAUUAAUUUAUCUGUAUUAUCUUCGAAUUUGCUUUCUCCAAAGAGGGCAUGUAAAAUGAAAGCACUAUAGUCAAGAACCAAUUUAUACAGAUCGAAGAACUGUUUUUAUUGUACUAUGCAAUUACAAUUCAAUUUCUCUAAACUUGAUCAAUCCAUUGUUUAGAAAUAUCAAAAUACUUUUAUUUCACACAGUUUGUAUAUUAUUUAUAAAAAAUUCCAAAUAAUGCUCUUAGCAAAAUUUAUAAGCAGUACCUGUUUUAAGCUACUAAUGACAAAGUUAGAAAAUAAGAGUAAUAUUCACAUAUUCUAACCAUUUCUUACUAAAAGUAUUAUUUCAACUGAAAUAUUUACACAUGUAUAAAAGCAUAAUAUUUUAAAUUUUUUGUAUCAGAAAUUGAAUGGAAAUGACUAAGUUUAACUAUAGUUCAUUUUCUGUUUAAUAAGACUAGUUAAUACAAAGAUGAUUUUCAUUUUAUCAGAUUAUAAAGAAUGAGAAUGACUUACACAUGGCAUCAUAUGUGUUACUGCAUGUUUACUGGAAAUUAUAAAAGGCACAUAAUUUUAAAAUUCUACACUUUCAAAGAAAUUAGUUCAAAGCUUAACUCACAUAAGCAUAGCCCUUCUGAUCAUCCACAAAACAGAAUGGCAAUGAUUCAUGUUCUAUUUGGUAAGUUUACCUGUAUAGGUCCUAAAUACCAAGAACUCAAAAUAUAUACCUCAAAAGUAGAGGUUCUUCUAUAAAAAUACUCAAAGCUUAUUACUCUACUUGUGUUUUAUAAUAAACAGUUAUAUUGGUCAUUCUAUAGGUAUACAAGUUGUUUAAUAAUCCUUCUCAAACAUCCUAGCAACUAAGACUCUCUUUGCUAUAAUAUUAAGACUAUAUAAAUAAUCCUUAGAAAAUAAAAUGACAGGCUAUUCAUUUUUAAAAGUAAAAUUAUAUGCUGAUUCUGGUGCUUGCGAGUUUAACUUAUCUAAGAGUAUUUUCAAUCACUCUAAAAUGUCACAUCUAUCACUUAGAUCAGCUGUUCAUUUUUAACUGAGUACAUAUUAAACUCUGGGCAUCUGCUGACACUGGUAUAACUCAAACAUUUCAACUGUCUCCCUGACAGGGAUAACAGAUGCUGACAUUAUCAAAUGCUGUACUAUUUUUUUCCCAUGGCCUCUCCUUGCCCCGAUAUGGCCAGUAUAUGAAACUGAACUGCCAUCCAAAAACACACUUGAGCAACUGGAUCUGCUAAACAGCUCCCAUAUAACUAGUAAAAAUAGAAGCCAGUAUUAUUGCUAUCUUCAGCACUUAAGUUUAGGCAGUUUAACACCUGUUUCACUUCUACUAGAAAAAAUGAUGAAAAAGAAUUGUAGUUAAUUUCACCAGCAGUAUGAUACUUACCAACCAACAGACGCAGAAUAUACUUAGUGUAAGAGUCAUUUGCAUACUGCCUGAAUUAGCGUUGACCUCUCAGUUUAAAAUAGUAACUGUAAAGAAUAUUUCUCUACUCUAUAUUUCUCUGAGAGCACUUAACUUUAUAGGCAAAUUAUAAUUUAUCAAACUUUUAUUUUAUGCAAGAAGACACCCCUCUCAAGACAUUGAAAUCAACAGUAAAACCACAUUAUAACAAAAAUUUACUCUGAUUUUUCAAGUAUUAUCCACACAAUAGAUUUUAAUACUUGUAUCCAUGGAUUGUAACUAACCACCAUGUAUUACUAAGGCGAUAAUGAGAAGUAACUUGGCAAUCUGUACCCAAAAUGACAAAGAACUUAGUCAAGGAAAUAGACCUUUAAAAGGGUUAAAUUACUAAGCUAUGAUUAGUAACACCACGUAAGCAAAAACAAAGAAAAACUGGCAUGCAUGGUAGUUCCUUUCGACACAAGUCCAAGCAAUACACUGAAUACACAUGUGAUCUAUUUAUAAAUCAAAGGGCAGAGGUACUUUCUUAAGGCCACUGAUAUUCCUACACCCAUCAACAAUUUGCUAUUAGCCCUCAACUAUAAUGCUAAAAGAAGCAGUGGCAGUAGAAGGGGGUGACUAACUGAACUCUUCCCCAACCUUUUAGCUUAACUAUUUAUCUGGUUUGCUGCCUAGAGAUAAAUGGAAAACAUUACUCUAAAAUACAUCAAGGUCUAUUUGUUCCUUUAAAUACUAUUGGUUUUGAAAUAGCUUAUUGUCUACAUGUAAGAAUUAAGCAAAGACUUCGGCUGUGGACAAGAUUAGAAAAAGAAAAAGAAGCAAAGAUGUUGAAAACAAAGACGUACAUUGAUCAUUCCUUAAUGCAGUAAUGUGUUAAAAGGAAAAGAUUUUUAAACCAUUAAGCGCAGGAAAACAGUAGGAAAGUGACUUCAAAAUGGAAAAUUUGACAUUCAGUGACUGAAGCAUUGGUAUGAUAAUUUCUAACACUUGUAGAAGGUCCAUGACUGUAAUUUUACCAAUGAAAAGCAUUUAACUGUUUUGGAUUCCAAACUAGCAGCACUACAAUGCUUUGCUAGAGCUGGUAAAAUGGAACCAAAUCGCCUCUUCAAUGGAUUUGGUCCCCUUCAACCAGCUGUAGCUAUGCAUUGAUUACUACGGGACAACCAACGUUUUCAUUUGUGAAUAUCAAUUACUUGCCAACUAAUUUCAACUUAUUUACAUUAUGCAGACUGUGAUUAUAAUCAAAUAACUUGUUACUGUUAAUUCUACCUGGAAAAGCUAGAAUGGUUAAAGAUGUUUAUAAAAAGCUUUAUGAAAAAUGUAUGGAUGACUUAAGGAUUUCAAAUAAAAAUUUUACUUAUUAUGGUC
This 4234-nucleotide long non-coding RNA is filed under the name Homo sapiens (human). RNAcentral describes it as "MIR133A1 host gene (MIR133A1HG)". The stretch from base 3936 to 4007 matches the Rfam family "mir-133 microRNA precursor family". The record is from RNAcentral. Lineage: Eukaryota; Metazoa; Chordata; Mammalia; Primates; Hominidae.